This 882-nucleotide long non-coding RNA is filed under the name Lepisosteus oculatus (spotted gar). RNAcentral's name for it is "lncRNA (ENSLOCG00000021519.1)". Lineage: Eukaryota; Metazoa; Chordata; Actinopteri; Semionotiformes; Lepisosteidae. The record is from RNAcentral.
GUAGAAUCAUUUGAUUUCCCUUCCGUACCAACUCAACUGCGACUGACAUCGGUCAACUUCUUCUUGUUGUUGUUUUAUUUAGAGAAGACCUACGCAGCACCGGUUUGGCUUUGAUAUUGCAGAAUUCAACCAGGCCUUAGAGCACAAAGACUAAAUUGAUUGCUCUCUUACACAAGGUUAAGAAAAUAAAAAAAAAACAAAAAUUCCGUUAACCGGUUUUUUGUAUUUAACAAGAAUACCAGCUCGGGCUCCUGUAAAACGGCGCUGAGAGGAGGGCUCCCUCUGCUGAGCGCGGGCAGAACUACAUGGCACUAUUUCUAGCUGUUCAACGCCCGUCUUGCCCAGACUAGAGCCAGCUCUUAAAGAGGGUGCAUGAUGGCUGUACCUGAUGUGCGGUGUUUUAUCUGUGUAUUGUGCUCGACAUAGGAGGUGACUCAGCACCUGCGGUAUCUCCAGUUGACUGGGAGCGAACCGGACCGGACCGGAGUGCGGAUGCACCAGAUCAAUCUGGGCUGUCUGUCCAUCGCAGAAAAGUGUCAGCAUUGACAGAAUUCAGAAGAACUUGGUAAACAUCACACCCUGCUCCUCCGUAGAAAGAAAGGCAACACGAUAAAGAAUUUUUCUGCAUCUACCUGUGGCGCACUUAGCCCGAGACGUCUCCUUCAUUUCCCGAGACCUGACGGCCCCACCCCUCGUUUGUGGCUCAGCUUGCCGGUAGGACUUCCACGCGUUCAUCUGCAGAUUUCAUUCAGAAAGCGGCGGCAAUUCGAAUUUUUUAAAACUGCGCGAAAUGUGAGACAAGAGGCCGCCAGUUUUUGAGAAUCUGCAAAACAUACCGCCCCCCGAGCCGUUUACAACCCGCGGAAGGAUUGUAUAUCGCCC